This 386-nucleotide ribosomal RNA is filed under the name uncultured bacterium. RNAcentral describes it as "bacterial SSU rRNA". It matches the Rfam family "Bacterial small subunit ribosomal RNA", at positions 30 to 417 of the family's 1533-position model. The record is from RNAcentral.
AUUGAACGCUGGCGGCAUGCCUUACACAUGCAAGUCGAACGGCAGCGGGCCUUCGGGUGCCGGCGAGUGGCGAACGGGUGAGUAAUGCAUCGGAACGUGCCAUUGAGUGGGGGGAUAACGUAGCGAAAGUUGCGCUAAUACCGCAUAUUCUGUGAGCAGGAAAGCAGGGGACCGCAAGGCCUUGCGCUCUUUGAGCGGCCGAUGUCAGAUUAGCUAGUUGGUGAGGUAAAGGCUUACCAAGGCGACGAUCUGUAGCGGGUCUGAGAGGAUGAUCCGCCACACUGGAACUGAGACACGGUCCAGACUCCUACGGGAGGCAGCAGUGGGGAAUUUUGGACAAUGGGGGCAACCCUGAUCCAGCCAUGCCGCGUGAGUGAAGAAGGCCU